CCAAUAGCGUAUAUUAAAGUUGUUGCAGUUAAAAAGCUCGUAGUUGAAUUUCGGGAUCAGUAUGUCGGUCGUGCCUUCGGUAUGUACUGGUGUCACUGAUUCCUCCCUUCUGAAGAACCAUCAUGCCAUUAAUUUGGUGUGGUGGGGAAUCAGGACUGUUACUUUGAAAAAAUUAGAGUGUUUAAAGCAGGCUCGCGCUUGAAUACAUUAGCAUGGAAUAAUGAAAUAGGACGUUAAUCCUAUUUUGUUGGUUUCUAGGAUCGACGUAAUGAUUAAUAGGGAUAGUUGGGGGCAUUAGUAUUCAAUUGUCAGAGGUGAAAUUCUUGGAUUUAUUGAAGACUAACUACUGCGAAAGCAUUUGCCAAGGAUGUUUUCAUUAAUCAAGAACGAAAGUUAGGGGAUCGAAGACGAUCAGAUACCGUCGUAGUCUUAACCAUAAACUAUGCCGACUAGGGAUCGGAUGAUGUUAAUUUUUUAAUGACUCAUUCGGCGCCUUACG
Molecule: ribosomal RNA, 499 nt
Filed under: uncultured Glomeromycotina
Lineage: Eukaryota; Fungi; Glomeromycota
Description: partial small subunit ribosomal RNA
Rfam family: Eukaryotic small subunit ribosomal RNA
Source: RNAcentral